CUCGCGCGGGGAAGGACCGGAACUCCGGGCGGGCGGCUUGUUGAUAAUAUGGCGGCAGGAGCUGCCUGGGCAUCUCGAGGAAGCGGUGGGGCCCACACCCGGAAGAAGGGUCCUAUUUCAGGCUAGUGCAGCGGCCCCUGCGGGCCCGGAAGUCCGGGCCGGUUGCUGAAUGAGGGGAGCCGGGCCCUCCCCGCGACAGUCCCCCCGCGCCCUCCGCCCCGACCCGGGCCCCGCCAUGUCCUUCUUCCGGCGGAAAGUGAAAGGCAAAGAACAAGAGAAGACCUCAGAUGUCAAGUCCAUUAAAGCUUCAAUAUCCGUACAUUCCCCACAAAAAAGCACUAAGAAUCAUGCCUUGCUGGAGGCUGCAGGACCAAGUCAUGUUGCCAUCAAUGCCAUUUCUGCCAACAUGGACUCCUUUUCCAGUAGCAGGACAGCAACACUCAAGAAGCAGCCAAGCCACAUGGAGGCUGCUCAUUUUGGAGAUCUGGGCAGAUCUUGUCUGGACUACCAGACUCAGGAGACCAAAUCAAGUCUUUCAAAGACCCUUGAACAAGUCUUGCACGAUUCUGUUGUCCUCCCAUAUUUCAUUCAGUUCAUGGAACUUCGGAGAAUGGAGCAUCUGGUUAAAUUUUGGUUGGAGGCCGAAAGUUUCCACUCAACGACUUGGUCCCGAAUAAGAGCACACAGUCUGAACACAGUAAAACAGAGCUCACUGGCUGAGCCUGUCUCUCCAUCUAAAAAGCACGAAACUACAGCAUCUUUUGUGACUGAGUCUCUUGAUAGGAGAUUGGAGGAUUCUAGCUCAGCCCAAUUGCUUAUGACUCAGUCAGAAGAAAUUGACCUGAAUGGUAGAACUAACAUCACUCAGAAUCACUUGCUGCUCUCCCAGGAAUGUGACAGUAUGCAUUCUCUUCAUCUUGAAAUGGCCAGAGCAGGAACUCAUCACGCUUCUGUAGAAACCCAAGAAUCCUCCUCUAGACUUACAGUAGCCAGUAGAAAUAGCCCCUCUUCUCCAUUGAAAGAAUUAUCAGGAAAACUAAUGAAAAGUAUAGAGCAAGAUGCCGUGAAUACUUUUACCAAAUAUAUAUCUCCAGAUGCUGCUAAACCAAUACCAAUUACAGAAGCAAUGAGAAAUGACAUCAUAGCAAAGAUUUGUGGGGAAGAUGGACAAGUUGAUCCCAACUGUUUCAUUUUGGCACAGUCCAUAGUCUUCAGUGCAAUGGAGCAAGAGCACUUUAGUGAGUUUCUGCGAAGUCACCAUUUCUGUAAAUACCAGAUUGAAGUGCUGACCAGUGGAACUGUUUACCUGGCUGACAUCCUGUUCUGUGAGUCAGCCCUCUUUUAUUUCUCUGAGUACAUGGAAAAAGAAGAUGCAGUGAAUAUCUUACAGUUUUGGUUGGCAGCAGAUAACUUCCAGUCUCAGCUUGCUGCCAAAAAGGGCCAGUAUGAUGGACAGGAGGCACAGAAUGAUGCCAUGAUUUUAUAUGACAAGUACUUCUCCCUCCAAGCCACACAUCCUCUUGGCUUUGAUGAUGUUGUCCGGUUAGAAAUUGAAUCCAACAUCUGCAGAGAAGGUGGACCGCUCCCUAACUGUUUCACAACUCCAUUACGUCAGGCCUGGACGACCAUGGAGAAGGUCUUUUUGCCUGGCUUUUUGUCUAGCAAUCUUUAUUACAAAUAUUUGAAUGACCUCAUUCACUCAGUUCGAGGAGAUGAAUUUCUGGGAGGGAAUGUUCCACCGACUGCUCAUGGCCCUGCAGGCCCUUCUGAUGAGUCUCACCCAGGUGGUUCUGACAGCUCCGCUUCUCAGUCCAGUGUGAAAAAAGCCAGUAUUAAAAUCCUGAAAAAUUUUGAUGAAGCAAUAAUUGUGGAUGCUGCAAGUCUGGAUCCAGAGUCUUUGUAUCAGCGGACAUAUGCAGGGAAGAUGACAUUUGGAAGAGUUAGUGACUUGGGACAGUUCAUCCGAGAAUCUGAGCCUGAACCUGAUGUGAAGAAAUCAAAAGGAUCCAUGUUCUCACAAGCUAUGAAGAAAUGGGUGCAAGGAAAUACCGAUGAGUUUGAAUUACUUCCUUUAGGCCCAAGAAGAGUUGGCUUGGAAGAUUGCUAAAAUGAUAGUCAGUGACGUCAUGCAGCAGGCACAGUAUGAUCAACCACUAGAGAAAUCUACAAAGCUAUGACUCAAGCCUGAGAUAAAGGAAAUCUACUUUUGAGAAAACAGAAAACUUUUUUCCUUUGGUUGGAAUCUUCAACACAGCCAGUGAAAACAGAGCACUAUGUUUCCUUUCACUGAUCUAUCACUGUUGUUUCCAAGAAAGAAUGGGAGACAAUCCUAGACUUCUACCAUAACGCAGAGUAACAUGUAGACUUGAUGCACACGAUGUUCACACAGUGAGAGUCAUAAAGAUACAAAGUGGCAUUGUUUACAUUACUAGAAAAUUCUUAGUUUUCCAUGGCAAUAACCCAUUUAUGAGAGAGUUUUAGCCCCCUGGAAUAGACAAAGGACCACAUGCCUUGGGAGGCAGAUCAGCCUGGGGUUGCUGUCAAACUGAUCCAUCUCUGGCAGCAUCACAGAGCAGGUGUCAGAGGUGCCGUGUGUAGUCCUCCUAAAACAGACAGGCGUGAGCCCACCGAGAGCCAGGAGGGGCGGCAGUGCGGUGCUAACAGAGAGGGGACUCAGCUGUGCUGUCUUCCUUCACAGAGGCGUUACUUGAGAAGGAAACUGACAGGCCAUGGGUCAGGUCUCAGUGACAUCAUCAUUCCCGUUGGUGGCAGUAUACAAUUUACACACCUUAAUUGCUCCUGAGCUGCAGCGUCCUUACAGUUGUCUCUGCUGCUAACAAAGCGUGAUGCUAGUUCACUGUGAGCAUCCAGACUUGCUCCUUUGAAUUCUGCGCUCCAGUGACUUAACUUUCCUUUCAGCAUAUGUGUGAAAAGAAUGAGUAAUGAUCACUCCAGUUUUCCCUCUGUAGUGUCUUGAACAAAAUGGUUAUUCCCAGAUUGUACUUUUUUUUUUUUUAAGUAAGAUGGACAGGUUGGGCUGGAGGGAGGGAGGAACUCGCCUAGGUUUGCCUCCCCUGUUCUUUGCUCUGAGCUGGGAAGUGUACAGUUGGCGGCCUUUUUUCUUUCUGUCUUCAGGACAGAAGUAGACUCACUGCUCUUGCGCUCAGUCAGCUCUUUCGUGGGGACCCCACAGCCGUCAGCAGGGCUGCCCAGUUGGCAAGCACACUCCACCGGCCCUGUGGUGCCAGUGCCUCCUCGAUGUGCGUAAUUGUUUGAAGGCUAAGUUUGUUCUCUUAGGUGUUACUGCUUUUGCAAAAAAGAAAAAAUACUAUAUAUAUAUAUGUACUAUAUAUAUAUAAAUAUAUAACUAUCAAUCACUUCUGUCCUUGAGAAAGUCUUGAAUGAACAAAGAAUUUAUUCCAUUGCAUUAGUUGAUUGUAUAGAGGCGCCCUGUUUCAUCAGCAGAAGAGGCGAAAAGGCCGUGUGUAAGUUUUUGGUACUGUGUACCACCUGUUGUUGUUCUAAAGCGAAGUAUUCAUGUACGUAAACCAUAUUCUAUUUAAUUGUGUUUGAUUUUAAAAUAUAUAUAUAUGAAUUAUAUUUAAAAUCGUGUCAGCUUUCUGCUUUCAGGGCAUUUAUGGCUCUUCUGUUGAAUAUCUUAAUCCUUCCAAAUAAUUCCAUUUGCUUUACAAAACCCCUGAACUUGAGCCACUACUGGACUUAGCCUUGUGUUUGCACUGUAUGGCAUAGACCUGAGGUUUUUAUUAAGGAUAUAUGCUGUGAUUAACUUAUUUUGUUCUUUUUAACAAGAAUAUUUUCAUCUAUCUCACCUUGUUUCAAUCUAUGAUGGAAAAGCAAUACAAAGGUCAUAGAAUAAACUGGUUUGGGGUAACUCUGGCUGCCUCUGCAUGUUGUGGAGUAACAAUUUCUGGAAGAUUCUAGGCUCUUUAAGCUGAUGCUUUCAGUGAGAUAAUUUCUGAUGGUUUCUUGGUAUACGUUUUGUGCUUCUGAGCGGGAGAUCCCAGUAGCUGUAAGCCUGUGGUGGAGGGAAGAGCAAGUUGGAGGUUUCGUUACCUUUUUUCUGCUCCACCCGCCAACCCACCUCCGUGGUGAGAUGCAGAAGUUGGAAUUGGGUUCGCCUGACAUUGAGCACCCUUUGUGUCCCAGGCUCUGUUCAGGGCAUCUGGAGAAUAUGAUUCCCUGGCAGGGUUUUUAUAGGUUCAAGGAAUAAGCUUCACCUUUAUCAUGUCAUUGACAUCAAACACAAAUUGUUUAAAAAGAAAAGAUGCCAGUGAGAAAGUGAUACCUCUGAUAACUUUGUGUCUAAAUAACUUCUGUAAGAUUGGGUGAAAGUAAAAAGCAAAUGUCAAACCAAAUCCAGUGAAGAGCAAUAAAACAGGGAGCAACUUUUUGUAACUUUAUCUACGUGAGUUUUAGUAUUGUGUAGAACUUUCUGAAUUGUAAGCAUUUUACAGUACUGGCGCUUUAACUGGUUGGGUAGGAAUCUGGAGGGGACGGUCACUCUGAGUUUACAAAGUUACAGACUUUUUUGUUUUAUGUAAGUGUUGAGAGCUAAGACCCUGAUGGACGCAGCAGCUGACCUCUAGUGGUGCUGUCUGGGGACCUGACUGUCUCACAGUAACCCCUCCUGGCCCCCACCUACACUGGCACAGGAGUAGGGGCCACAAUUCUGGAGGAAGACUUUGCUCUCCCACCGUUUCCUCCUUGUCACCACAUACCAGCUGACUCAGGGUUGAACUCUGACCCAAACGAGCCUAAUUCUUUAUUUUGGGAGUUUCGCUUGGAUAAGGAGAGAUAGCAGUUGCCCUCUGGGGUGGUGGCUUGGAGGGUCACUUACCCAGGCAGGAGCCUGCAUGUGCAGACAGGCCUGCGAGAGCAGCUGCCUUGGCAACCCUGAGGACUGCAUGUGGCCCUGCACCCUUCCUUGGACUCCAUUAAUCCCUCAGGUGUGCUUAGAAUGAAUUUUGAGUUUUUUCAGAAUCAGUCUGAAUUGAGUUUCUACUGCAUGCAGCCAAGAGGCCGUAAUAAAAGGACCAUGGCUCUGAUUCCUGAUGACCCUGUGUACUCAGCAUGUCUGCAAAGCACUGCUGAAUUCUGGAGCAUUUCCCUUUUGUAAACUUUCCCUGAUCAUCUUGUGUUUUUUUCUCAAAACGGAAUCCUAAUCUAAUGUAAAUGAAAGACACUCACUCUUCCUUACAGUGAGGAGUGAGGAAGGGACAGGGUAGGUGCCAACAUCCUGUGGGGCAGUGACCAUUAGGACUCAGGACAGGGGUCGUCUUCCUGUCUCCCGACUUCCUUCUCCACUCUCAGCAACUCUGCUAAACCUGGAAACACAGGGUGUUCCAGGUAAUGAGUGCCCGACACAAGCUUAACAUAGAGGAAGGGGGUAAUGAUUACAAAGCUUGUAAAUGCUGACCACUUCUGUGGAUGCGGCAAGGUCUCUGGCAUUCGGCUGGAGGCACAAAGGGAAAGUAGGCACCAGUGAACCCUGUGAGGCGACAGCAUCAGCGGCCGCAGUAGUAGCUGCCCUCUGAUCCCCUUACAGGUGGUCAUUGUGAGCCCUGAGGGAGCCGUCCCCUGUGUGGGCAGAAUCGGGAGUGGCUUGGAGCAGGGAGGAUGGGGCUCUGCCUCCGGGACAGGCCUCGGGGUCAUUCGUGACCAUGUAGGAUUUCUGCCCAGUUUGGCAUGCAGGCAAGGUGUUCCUUUGGUACUGCCUACUGUGGCACAUUUAGGAUGUCACAGACCUCACCUGGAAUCCUUAGGCUUCUCGCCUAAGGGUGAUAGCGCAUCCACCACCUCCUAGCACCCCCUGAGGCACUGCAGGACUGAGCCCUUUGGUGUCCCCUGAGUAGCCCUUGUCAGCACAGGCUGGAACAGUAGGCAAGGAGCCUAGGAAGAGCAGACCUGACUUCACCUCCCAGGGAACCAGGAUUUGCCAGGGAGUCCAUGAGAGACGAAGGCUGUGACAGCUGUGGCAUUUCUCCCAGCCUCAGAUUUCCAGUCUCUUGCCUUAAAGGUGCCUUCUUCAGUCUCAUCCCUGAGUGAUUCCAAGCCAGCCUCUGCCUGAAUCAUGGGAAGGAUCUCACAUACCGUACCUGUGGAGGAGGCUCUGACUUGAAGAAGCACCUCGCCAGGACUUAGGGCUUCGGACUAAGGGCAGCUCUUAAGUCUGGACCCCAGCCUCACCAGCUCCCCAGAGCCCAACAAAAGCACCCAGGUGUUAGUUUCCCGUGGCCAACAGCAACCUUUGUUCCUUCUAAUUACAGAACAACUGAUGUAGUGAAUGUUUACUCUGUUAUAACAAAGCUGGGCGCUGUUUACAGUGCAAGGGCACAGGAACAAAGUAAACAAACUUGGAAGCCCCACAGAGCUUGCUUUCUACUGAGGAGGCGGUGGAAGUUGCAUCUAGAAUAUAUGUUGUUACUUUGGACUCAAGCUGACUUUUUGAGCCCAGGUUUAACUUCCUUUAUUCCUCAAAAGAAAUCACUGGGUCUCCCCUUGGACCACCCCAAGGAGAGCUACAGCUUAGGGAGGGAAAAGGCGGCGAUACCCUCUUAACCCCAUGCCCUGUGAGGACCAGAUGCUGUAUUUUUUUUUAAGCAUUUUAUUUUAUUAUUAUUUUUUUUUACAGGCAGAGUGGACAGUGAGAGAGAGAGAGACAGAGAGAAAGGUCUUCCUUUUGCCGUUGGUUCACCCUCCAAUGGCCGGCGUACCGCGCUGAUCCGAUGGCAGGAGCCAGGUACUUCUCCUGGUCUCCCAUGGGGUGCAGGGCCCAAGCACUUGGGCCAUCCUCCACUGCACUUCCUGGCCACAGCAGAGAGCUGGCCUGGAAGAGGGGCAAGCGGAACAGAAUCCGGCGCCCCGACCGGGACCAGAACCCGGGGUGCCAGCGCCACAGGCGGAGAGGAUUAGCCUAGCGAGCCGCAGCGCCGGCCUCAGAUGCUGUAUUCUUCCAUUCGUUUGCUGCAGACCAGGUGUAGGCACUUAGCCUGGGGUUGGGCACCUGGUUAGCAAAAAGCCUGCUCUCUGAGAUGGUCAGGAUGAGCUUCUCUGUGAACAGGGUAAGGCUUAGAGGACACCAGAGGAUCAGCCCCAACCCCCAUGGCUCUCUGAGUUCUACUUAAAUGAUGGUAAGGACUGGCCAGCGUAAUCCAGUAUGUGCUGGUUCCAGGCACUAUCAGAGCCUUACAAAGGAAGUACUUGUUUUUCCCUUAGAAAUGAGGACAGUAGUUGUUUGCUCUUGUCUCGUUUUGCAGCUCAUUCGUACUCGCCACAGGCUAGUAUGGCAGAUGCUGAAGGCUUAAGAAAACUGGUGGCUUUAAAAUGAAAAACAUUCCAUCCGUUACCUUAAAGCAGUAGUUCUUAAACUUGCACCCACAUCAGGAUCCCCCAGAGACUUCUUAAAACAUAGAGUGCUGGGCCUAACCCGAGUUUCUGACUUACUAGGUUUGGGUUAGGGCCCGAGAAUUUGCAUUUUUCACAGAUGGACAGAUGAUUAUGCUGCUUUGGAGUCGACACUUUUGUGGAUCACUGCCUUAAAGUCUUUCCAGCAAAUCGGGAAAUCAACGUUUCCAUUUAUUGGCUAUAUAGAAGUAUAGUUUGAGGCGCAUUACCCAUGAUUCACUCAACACGAGUCCUUUGUUAGUCAAAUGUGUAUCAAUGCUGAGAGCACCCAAGCCCCACCCCACUGUCUCAUCAUGAGAACCUGGCCAGCGCUGAGGCCAUCAAGGCCAUCCUCACUGGGGUGGAGCUUAGCGGAGGCCACCACACAGCAGUCACAGACCCGGUGCCUUUGCUGGGGACGGGGAGCCUGACAGUCCCCUAGGUCUGAGACUUUGCACUGUUGGGAAUCACACCUAAGUCCCCAUGGACCGUUUUGCACUAAUCCUGCCUCGUCCAUGUCCUUCCAGCUUACCUCCCAGGUCCUUGCUGCCAGUUACCCUCCAGGAUCCUGACCAUGACUUUUCCUCAUUUCUUCCUUUCUUUCUCAUUUGCCGAAUCUCCCUCCUGACCAUUUGUUCUCCAGCAUGUGUUUCCUGAUGGCCUGUUAAUGUGACUAUGCUAGGUGCUGAGGACACAGUCAUACCCAGGACAGACAGACUGCCCGCCCUCCCUGUGGUCUAGGAAGCGAGGAAUUACAAGUGGAGUGAGCGCUGUGAGGGUAAGGAAGCUUCUGGGGGGGAUUUAGGUGGACACCCUCAUCCCCUAUGACUUACACUCCCUGGUCAUCUCAGUCUUUCUGCCUAUCCUACAUGUCUCCUCUCCCUCAAGGUGCCGCUAUUUCACAGUCCUAACUACAUAUCCAGGCCACUCUUAACCCCCUCCCCAGCUGGAGCAGGACUCCGUGUCCAGGUUGUACACCAGCACCUGCUCCUGGCCGGUGCUGCCACCACAGUUUUGCUCAGACUCCUCACUGAAACCCUUGACCACCUGGGAGCCAGUCCUCCGCCAUCUGGCUGCAGGCGGCCGCUGGCUUGCUCUCCAAGUCUGAUACACCACUCCUUUCUCCAUGCCUUUGUUCCGCUCCAGGAAGCGGCACUGGCCAUGGUGACCAUCGGCCCAGCAACUGUGGCCUGUGGUUCUUUACCUGUUCUUUUCUCAAGAAUGGGAAAAUAUUGAGGAUGGUGUUUUACUCCACCCGUAACCAAACUCGGUCAUCUGCCGCAACUGCUCUACCUCUGGUUUCUUCUCACACGUGUUAGCCCACAGCAACCUCAGAUGGGGCAAGUCUGAAUGGUCAGAGAUUCCUCCUGUGGGAGUGGGUUGAAAGAAGGGAGGGAAGGAACUUACUCAUUCCAGGAAGAUACUCCUUCACCAUUACAAGGGUCUAGUUUUGUAAACCAGCUUUUCAGAGAGCAAUUUCAAAAGCAGUUAAGUGAGCAGUUCUGGUGCAAGGACUACAGACAUCAGCCUAUAACUUGGGGGUGGGGGGAUGACAGUCCUAAGGGGGUGAUUUGCAUGAAACUCUCCAAUGAGAGUGUCAGAUGUGUGUCUUCAAAGUGCUGCAAUCAAACACCUUAGACACGAGAGACGAGGUGCACGUCCGAGACACUGGCUAUAGGUAUCAUGAAGACAUUGAUAUCCAAGAUUCUUGUAGAGAAUUUGAAUCAGAUUGUUAUUUGAAAUAUGAGAAUGGGGAAAAAGCAAUAUUUUGUAUUAAUGUAUUAUUGUAUAUAAUGUUAUUUUAAAUAAGCAUGUGUAACUAAAUUAAUAAAUUAGAUACUAUAAUGA
Molecule: non-coding RNA, 9252 nt
Organism: Oryctolagus cuniculus (rabbit)
Lineage: Eukaryota; Metazoa; Chordata; Mammalia; Lagomorpha; Leporidae
Source: RefSeq, a predicted model, not a curated record